Setaria italica (foxtail millet) is the source of this 665-nucleotide long non-coding RNA. RefSeq lists it as uncharacterized. Lineage: Eukaryota; Viridiplantae; Streptophyta; Magnoliopsida; Poales; Poaceae. The record is from RefSeq and is a predicted model, not a curated record. The transcript has 2 exons.
CUCACACUUGGCGGUCCACGGCCUCGCAAUCCUUCUUUAUAUCCACGGGUGCUACAGCCUUGAGCCUCCCCGUCCCAUGUGCAUUCCAUCCAGCUUGCUCGUUGCUUCGCCUUUGCGCUCUGCGCCUCUGCUUUAGUCUCUAGUUGGCGGACGGCUGCGCUGUGCAGUCCGCGCUCUUCACCACAUCCCACCGCCUCCCCCGCCCCCGCAGACGCAAGAAACCGGCGGCCAUGGAUCCCCCGUCGGCUCAGGUGAUGUCGGCGACAAACGACUUCCAGGACAAGACCGUGGACGAGUGUUGCUCGUGCUGCUACGACUGCUGCUCCAGCAUCCUCGACUUCCUGUGCUGCUCGUCUUGAUCCGACCGGUGCGGCUCCGACCUGUCCCGGCGGAAAAUUCUCAAGGAAAGCGGAGGCCUCGCCAUCACUCAUCACUGAUCCUGAUUUUAGUCCUGGAGUUCGUAGAUUCCUUAGGUCAGCCUUCGGUGAUGGUAUCUUUGUAAGUUUGACUCUAUUCAUCGGUAAGGAAACUUGGAUCAGGUGCUGAAAUACCGUGUUAACCUUCAACCCUGCGGUGAUUUCCUCUCUAGAAAAUUUACCGUGCAUGUAGGCAGAUGGAAUAGCUGUUUGGAGUUCUUACCCGUGACUGCGCUCGUAUUUGACAUA